GACUACUGGGGUAUCUAAGCCUGUUUGCUCCCCACGCUUUCGUGCAUGAGCGUCAGUGUCGACCCAGGGGGCUGCCUUCGCCAUCGGUGUUCCUCCACAUCUCUACGCAUUUCACUGCUACACGUGGAAUUCCACCCCCCUCUGCCGCACUCAAGCACCACAGUCACAAACGCAGUUCCCAGGUUAAGCCCGGGGAUUUCACAUCUGUCUUAUGGCGCCGCCUGCGCACGCUUUACGCCCAGUAAUUCCGAUUAACGCUCGCACCCUACGUAUUACCGCGGCUGCUGGCACGUAGUUAGCCGGUGCUUCUUCUUCCGGUACCGUCAUCCAUGCAGGGUAUUGGCCCGCACGAUUUCUUCCCGGCCGAAAGAGCUUUACAACCCGAAGGCCUUCUUCACUCACGCGGCAUGGCUGGAUCAGGGUUGCCCCCAUUGUCCAAAAUUCCCCACUGCAGCCUCCCGUAGG
Molecule: ribosomal RNA, 465 nt
Filed under: uncultured Rhodocyclaceae bacterium
Lineage: Bacteria; Pseudomonadati; Pseudomonadota; Betaproteobacteria; Rhodocyclales; Rhodocyclaceae
Description: partial 16S ribosomal RNA
Source: RNAcentral